RNAcentral lists this non-coding RNA (241 nucleotides) under Enterococcus aquimarinus. Its description in RNAcentral is "T-box sequence". It matches the Rfam family "T-box leader". From Rfam's summary of the family: Uncharged tRNA acts as the effector for transcription antitermination of genes in the T-box leader family. Lineage: Bacteria; Bacillati; Bacillota; Bacilli; Lactobacillales; Enterococcaceae. The record is from RNAcentral.
AAGAAAUCAUAACUAAGAAGAGUAGUCAAAGAAUGCGAUGUUGUAGAGAGUCUGCGUUUGGUGAGAAGCAGAUACAUCCGCUUUGGUGAAUGGGCUUGGUAGAAGAAUCCUUGAAAGAAAAGUAGGGGAUUUCCGGGAACUCCCGUUAUAGAGAAAGAUUGUUGAUAGACAGUCGAUAGAGAUCAUAAGAGCCUUUUGGUUGUUAUGAAUUGAGGUGGUACCGCGUAUUUUCGCCCUCAAA